This 433-nucleotide ribosomal RNA is filed under the name uncultured bacterium. RNAcentral describes it as "partial 16S ribosomal RNA". It matches the Rfam family "Bacterial small subunit ribosomal RNA", at positions 29 to 507 of the family's 1533-position model. The record is from RNAcentral.
AACGAACGCUGGCGGCAGGCCUAACACAUGCAAGUCGAGCGAGGACUUCGGUCCUAGCGGCGGACGGGUGAGUAACGCGUGGGAACGUGCCCUUUGCUUCGGAAUAGCCCUGGGAAACUGGGAGUAAUACCGGAUGAGCCCUUUGGGGGAAAGAUUUAUCGGCGAAGGAUCGGCCCGCGUUGGAUUAGGUAGUUGGUGGGGUAAUGGCCUACCAAGCCGACGAUCCAUAGCUGGUUUGAGAGGAUGAUCAGCCACACUGGGACUGAGACACGGCCCAGACUCUACCGGGAGGAGGAGGUGGGGAACUUAGACAAUGGGGGGAAACCCUGAUCUAGCCAUGCCGCGUGAGCGAUGAAGGCCUUAGGGUUGUAAAGCUCUUUCAGCUGGGAAGAUAAUGACGGUACCAGCAGAAGAAGCCCCGGCUAACUCCGUG